This 490-nucleotide ribosomal RNA is filed under the name uncultured bacterium. RNAcentral describes it as "partial 16S ribosomal RNA". It matches the Rfam family "Bacterial small subunit ribosomal RNA", at positions 29 to 506 of the family's 1533-position model. The record is from RNAcentral.
GUGAACGCUGGCGGUAGGCCUAACACAUGCAAGUCGCACGGCAGCACAGUAAGAGCUUGCUCUUACGGGUGGCGAGUGGCGGACGGGUGAGGAAUACAUCGGAAUCUACUUUUUCGUGGGGGAUAACGUAGGGAAACUUACGCUAAUACCGCAUACGACCUACGGGUGGAAGCAGGGGAUCUUCGGACCUUGCGCGAUUGAAUGAGCCGAUGUCGGAUUAGCUAGUUGGCGGGGUAAAGGCCCACCAAGGCGACGAUCCGUAGCUGGUCUGAGAGGAUGAUCAGCCACACUGGAACUGAGACACGGUCCAGACUCCUACGGGAGGCAGCAGUGGGGAAUAUUGGACAAUGGGCGCAAGCCUGAUCCAGCCAUACCGCGUGGGUGAAGAAGGCCUUCGGGUUGUAAAGCCCUUUUGUUGGGAAAGAAAAGCAGCAGGUUAAUACCCCGCUGUUCUGACGGUACCCAAAGAAUAAGCACCGGCUAACUUCGU